GGACUUCCGUACAGAAAACUGAACAGACACAUACAGCAUGUAAACUACAGCAGGUCGUCCAGGCUAUUCAGUGAGCACAUACUUCCGAAGCUAUUCAUUGCUAGAGCAGUAUAACUGAUAUGUACAAUGUACAAGAAAACAAGCCGCCUAUGAAUGAAAUUUCAA
Molecule: long non-coding RNA, 165 nt
Organism: Mytilus californianus (California mussel)
Lineage: Eukaryota; Metazoa; Mollusca; Bivalvia; Mytilida; Mytilidae
Exons: 2
Source: RefSeq, a predicted model, not a curated record